ACAUCGUGAUCCGCCCGCCUCAGCCUCCCAAGGUGCUGGGAUUACAGGCAUGAGCCACCAUGCCUGGCUGACACAGUAGGCUUUUAACAAAUACUCAAGAAAUCGCAGUUCUUAGGCAUUUAAGGAACAGAGUUGGAACAAAAUCAAGAUUCAAAAUUAUUUCUCUAAGCCUUCUUUGGGCCACAGUCUACAAAGAGAUUGGGGAAGUAGGCUGUCAGAACUUUAAUGGUUCUGAAAUCACCGAAAAUGAUGUAACUGGAACACUUUCAUUUCACAAGAUUACAGUGUUACAUUUUCUAAAGAAACUGUCAUUUGCCUUCUGAACUAGAAACAGGGAUUUGUAAAAUAAUGUGCAGUGAUGGCGUGGAAAACUAACCAGCAGCACUCCUGAAAUGCUGCCUUCGUGUUCCCCUGGGACUGCUCGCCUCACCCCAAAACUAUUUCUACUGCCUUCCCCUUCCAUGCUACAACUAGUCUCCAAAGGUAGUUUUCUCUACUAACAAAGCAAACAGAUCAUAUGAACGGACAUCAGACUUUCUUAGGAGAUUUCUGAAAAUUCUCUCUUCUGGGGGAAUAAAUUGUGAGCAUUUCGAUUCAAACAUUCCUGAAAGAAUAACCAGGCAACCGAAACACUCAGUGACCUAACUGUGGUAGGCUGGUCACUUCAAACUUAACAGAACAAUAAAACAUAUACUACUUUAUGGCCAAAAAAAAAAAUCUUUUUAAAACAAUAAGUGUGGACAAAGUGUUUUCACAGAUGAAGAGAUGAAGUUCCUGAAAUUUAGGGUUUCAUUUCUCAAGGGUCUCCUUUAAACAAACAAACAGUUAUGAUUUCAAAGUAGACAUGUGCCUUCAACACCAUUUUUAAAAAUUACCAGCCUUAGCAAAGGUGUAGAAAAAACUUGUUCUCAAGCACUGUCCGUGGAAGAAUUAGUAAAACAUUUCUAGAAAACCUGUUACCGUCUUAACAAACUUUUAAACACAUGUAGCAAUUCUACUUCCAGGAACUUAUCUAUUUGCCAAGACAUAUAUGCAAGGAUCUUCCCUAUAGGGUUGUGUAUAAAGGAAAAAUCAGACAGACUAUGCCAGGAGCCCUCUGAAAGAGAAGAGUCAACUGUGGAGGGGGCACCUGUGAAUGAAUCCUGCGGAGCUGCUAACAGAGCAGACUUACACACACAACAUGACUUUCCUGGGCCUGACUCCCGGACCUGUCCCCAGCGCCUCGCGGCCUCUCGAGCCCCUUCAGUGACCAAGAUGCAGAGAUCAGGACGCCAUUGCACCACCCCAGGGUCUGGCGCUGUCGCCCAGGUUGGAAUACAGCGGUGCAAUCUCAACUCACUGCAAACUCCGCCUCCCAGGUUCAAGCAAUUCUCCUGCCUCAGUCUCCUGAGUAGCUGAGAUUACAGAUGCCUGCCACCACACGCAGCUAAUUGGUUGGGUGUGGUGGGGCUUUCCAAUGAUUACUUAUUAAUGAUUACUUAUGAAAAACAACAACAAAAAAGCCAUCUUGAAGCUGCUUUUAAUGAGAGAACAAAUGUGCUCCCAAGCAACAGAGCAGCGAAAUUCUUUAUUACUGGAUUCUAACUUUCCUCUCUAACUGUAACUGUCUCAGCUCCACCUCAUGUGACUUGGAGGGUAUGUUGCAACCUGCGUCUUCACCACCCAUUCAUGAAGAUCUAUAAAACUAAUGUAAACUGCUGGGGCAAUUUCAACAUGAGUCAACUGGAGAUUGUUACUUGGUGAGAAUGCGCAAGUGGCAAAGAUCUAAAUUUGUUCAGCUAAUUUGUAAUUAACCUUCGCUUCUCACAUGUCAGUAUGUGAAGUGUCUGGUUUAAGCAAUUUAUCCAAAAAAGCCAUAGACUCUUUAAAUAACAACAAAACCUGGGCCUGGAAUUUUAUAAAGGCAGAAUGAGUAAGA
Molecule: long non-coding RNA, 1918 nt
Filed under: Homo sapiens (human)
Lineage: Eukaryota; Metazoa; Chordata; Mammalia; Primates; Hominidae
Description: HSALNT0385195
Source: RNAcentral